Molecule: ribosomal RNA, 520 nt
Filed under: uncultured archaeon
Lineage: Archaea
Description: bacterial SSU rRNA
Rfam family: Archaeal small subunit ribosomal RNA
Source: RNAcentral
CUGUGCUGACGUACUACUAGGCUUGGGAUUGGGAGAGGGUAGAGGUAUUCCUUGUGUAGGGGUUAAAUCCUUUAAUCCAAGGAAGACCACCGGUGGCGAAGGCGUCUACCUGGAACAAGUCCGACGGUGAGGGACGAAAGCGUGGGGAGCGAACGGGAUUAGAUACAAACUUUUCUAAUCCGAAGAUACCAAAAAUGAUUGGAUGGUUUGCUAGAAACCCCGGUAGUCCACGCCGUAAACGAUGCCCGCUUGAUGUUGCAAACUUUACGGGAGUUUGCAGUGUCGGAGUGUAAAUGUUAAGCGGGCCACCUGGGGAGUACGGCCGCAAGGCUAAAACUUAAGGGAAUUGGCGGGAGAGCACACAAGGGGUGUGAGCUGCGGUUUAAUUGGAUUCAACGCCGGGAAUCUCACGAGGGUUGACAGCAGAAUGAAGGUCAGCCUAACGGGUUUACCAGACAAGCUGAGAGGUGUUGCAUGGCCAUCGUCAGCUCGUACCUUGAGGCGUGCGGUUAAGUCCGUU